CCCCUAGAUGUUCUGGGCCGCACGCGCGCUACACUGAACAGUUCAACAAGUCUUAACCUUGGCCGAUAGGUCUGGGUAAUCUUUGAACGCUGUUCGUGAUUGGGAUAGACCUUUGCAAUUAUGGGUCUUCAACGAGGAAUUCCUAGUAAACGCAAGUCAUCAGCUUGCAUUGAUUACGUCCCUGCCCUUUGUACACACCGCCCGUCGCUACUACCGAUCGUUCCAGUUAAUGAACGCCUUGGAUUGGUCCCGUAAGCGGGGAAACCUGCUCGCGGUUGUGCCGAGAAGAAGUGUAAGUUAUCUGGGAUAGAGGUCGUAAAAGUCGUAACA
This 330-nucleotide ribosomal RNA is filed under the name uncultured eukaryote. Its description in RNAcentral is "partial 18S ribosomal RNA". It matches the Rfam family "Eukaryotic small subunit ribosomal RNA", at positions 1470 to 1796 of the family's 1831-position model. The record is from RNAcentral.